This is a long non-coding RNA of Ictalurus punctatus (channel catfish), 1905 nucleotides long. NCBI's taxonomy places the organism in Eukaryota, Metazoa, Chordata, Actinopteri, Siluriformes, Ictaluridae. The record is from Ensembl.
UAAUCCACGCACACAAACACAGAGAUUAUAAAACCAGUCACAAGCAUCAGGAAGUCAUUUAUUUCAAACCUUCAACUUUCCAGCAGAGCAGAUUAACAGCCAAAAAAAAAAAGAAGGAAAAACCCAUGGAGCAGGAGUUCAAUCUUCAAUAACACACAGUCCCAAAAAUGUGCCUUUCCAAGUGGAAAAGUCGCUUAUUAAACUUUAAAAUAAAACAUUUUCCUCAGUCUAAAUUUCACAUCCUAUAAAAAUCCUGUAAAAACUCCCCUCGUCCUUCAGAAGGCGUGCGCUGAUAAUCGUUCAUACGAUACGUCGCAAUAUAAAGCGCAACACUGUUCACAUGCUUUAAAAUAGUGUUCUUGUAUCGAUCACCCGGGUCACGGCACCGGAGUUUCUUCGAACGUGACCGUUUUCGUCCGUUUCUUAACAACAUGCUCACGAUAACGUGCGAGACGGUCAUCUGACGUGGGUCCGGGCCACAUUUUAACCGUAAGCAAACAUCUGUAGUGUCUCGUUAACGCUCGCCAGGAUUAUAAAACGACAUAUUUACAGACGCUUCAUUAAACAGUAUUUACAAAUAUUCUGUAUUUAACAAGCCGCAUCGCACAUGUUCACGGUAGAGAGUCUCCGCGUCUCAUUUUUCUCGCUGUGUGGAUGGAGCCAGGAAUGACUGACGGGUUAAAUGUGGCGACCAAUGGAAAUCGAGAAGAGGCGGAGCUUAACACUAGGUGAUGCGUUACUGCUGGCUAGCCAAAUCGUUUCUGGAGAAUUUUUAAUGUGCGAGUCUAGCUGAAAAGAAAAUUCGACACGGUGCUCAAUAUCGUGAUAUAUCGUACAACCGAUUAUCGGCGCAUGCCUUUAUCUUCACACGUAUUCAAAGAAAUAAAGUUUGAUUUAACGUUAAACAACCCUCAUCGACUCGUAGUGUGUGUGCAAAGUCAUCGUCUUUUUAAACAAAUGAACCGCGAUGCAUUUCUCCAGUAACCAAAAGUCCUUGAGAACGUUGUGCUGUCGAGUUCCAUAGGCUUCACUUUUGCUUCACAGUUUAUUAUUAUUAUUAUUAUUUUUUACUUAUGGAAGGUAGUACAGGCGUGUCGCCAAAGAAUGUGCAUUUUCAAGUCAAAAGUGACGGAUUUCCCAGAAACCUUUCGGUGCGAGAGGUCAGCGUGUGUUCACGCCUCCUGUUUGGUAACUGACGAGAUCCUCUCUGUAAGCGAUCCGAGACGCUCUUCGUUUGUUUAUCCGUUUGAUUAUUAGAAGCGCAGACAUGGCACGCACACUCGCCCGCUCGCUCGGUAACGUCGUCUGGAAACGUGAACACCUGCGAAGAGGGGCGGAGAGAAAACGUGAGCUCAUUUGAAUGCAGACAAAGAACGGACUUGUCCUGAGAGCUGAAACUGGGUUUCAUCAAACGGCGCUGGAAAUCCUCUCUGGUGUCAUUUUCACACGUAUUAAGAGCUUAAACAGCUGGCACGCGCGUUACACGCCAACGUUACACCCCAACUAUUUACUGAAAAAUAAUUAUAGUAUUCAAAAUGAGGAAACGAGCAGAAACUGACAGUACUACUCUUUUUUUUUUAUUGUAUUAGUUAUUUAAAAAGAAAUGAAUAAUAUUUUUCAUAGUCCCCCCCCCCAGUGAUUCAGUGAUGGAUCAUAUAACCCUGAAAUCAUCUAAUUUUUGAACAUCAUAUACAACCCCAAUUCCAAAAAAGUUGGGACACUGUAAAAUUAGUGCCUAUGGAAUGGACAGCUUGCACAUCUGGAAAGGCAUCAGUUGAAUAACAACUUUUUUUGGACUAAAAUAAUGACGAUUCGCUUUUCUGAGACAUCACUGACAUUAUUAUUAUUAUUAUUAUUAUUAAAAAAAACAAUUACAAUCUGCCCAUUAGAGACUGGUAAAAAGUG